UACGUAGGGUGCAAGCGUUAAUCGGAAUUACUGGGCGUAAAGCGUGCGCAGGCGGUUGUGCAAGACCGAUGUGAAAUCCCCGGGCUUAACCUGGGAAUGGCAUUGGUGACUGCACGGCUAGAGUGUGUCAGAGGGGGUAGAAUUCCACGUGUAGCAGUGAAAUGCGUAGAGAUGUGGAGGAAUACCGAUGGCGAAGGCAGCCCCUGGGAUAACACUGACGCUCAUGCACGAAAGCGUGGGGAGCAAACAGG
RNAcentral lists this ribosomal RNA (251 nucleotides) under uncultured bacterium. RNAcentral describes it as "partial 16S ribosomal RNA". It matches the Rfam family "Bacterial small subunit ribosomal RNA", at positions 524 to 776 of the family's 1533-position model. The record is from RNAcentral.